Molecule: long non-coding RNA, 14784 nt
Filed under: Malus domestica (apple)
Lineage: Eukaryota; Viridiplantae; Streptophyta; Magnoliopsida; Rosales; Rosaceae
Description: long non-coding RNA (MDOM_LNC005168)
Source: RNAcentral
UUUUAAUGAAUUUUAAUAUAGUUAAUUAAUCUGGACUGUUGGAUUUGAAAAAUAUUCAAAUCCAAGAGACAGGGAGUUGCCACGUGGCCAACAGUCAUAUUUCUAACCGUUGGGCCUUUUUUUUUUUUUUUUUUUUGUGAAAAAAACGUGGACCGUUGAUCUUUGAUUCGACGGUCUAUUUUAAAAGUAAAAUUUAAAUUUUUUUUACCGUUGGAAAUCCAACGGUCUAGAAAACUAGCCGUUGGAAAUCCAACGGCAAAAAGGGAGCCACGUCACCAACUCGGGGGGGGGGGAACUGAGUGCGCUUGCACGCGGGCCCGCGCUCUGAAAUCCUGUCGGGCACUCGCGCCAACGCCUCCAUGAAGCGCACGCGCCAGGCAAACUGCCCAGCUUCUUGCUCAGUCUCUUUUGGGCUGGUCCAGAGCCCAGCUCGGGCUGGGUACCAGUCAAGUUGAGGGGGUGGACUUGGUUGACAGGAUGCUGGCCUUGUUUUUGUGCUGGGUCCUGGGCAAAGUCCACCGGGGUGGAAUUGCUCUUAUGGAACUCUUGAACUGGCCUAAAGCUCAAUUAAGUACUGCCUUACCGUUGGUGUUGUCUCGGACUAAGAAGCUAGACUGUAAUUUUAAGAAACCGUCCCAAAUAUUAAAAAAAAAAACUAAUAAUUUUAAAAACUUAAUCAUUACAUUUUUCAAUUGAGUGUCAGUUUUAAUCUCAGAUUGGGGUCUCAACUUCAAUUUUCAACUCAAAUAUUUCAACGAGUACAUGAAAACUCAUGGAUAAAAAUAAGGAAAACUAAUGAAAAUGACUUGAAAACUUUGAGUUUUAAUGAUAAAGACAAAAUAAAGGGUAAAGUGAAUAGUAACAUGAUUGACUUUUUAGUGUAAAAAUGUGGUUUUUCGUUAAAGUGAACAGUACCGGAUGCUUUUCGUUAAAAUUCCAAUAAAAAUAUGAUACAUGAUUACUAGAAGCUGUGUAAUAAAUUAAUAAUCAAAAAAUAAAAAUAAAAAUAAUAUGCUUGUACAAAAACUGCCCGGCGGGUAAACUCCUCCGAUUCAAAAUUGCUUCAACUCCGAAGGCACGCCCUUGCAUUUUCCCGCAUUAGGAGAUGUACUACUCCGUUGGCGCCCAACUCCAUCAACAGCCUGCAGCAGAACCCUGGUUUGCCUGAAACAAGCCACACGUUACGAAAAGACAUAACAAAGAGAAAACAUAAGGAUACCAAGAUUAAGAGGAGAAACAGAACGGCGCAGCAUAUACAAGCAUCCUACCGAGCAAUAAACUAGUCAUCCUCCAUAGGCACCUCUGGAAUGUCAAACCAAUCCUCUUCGAAAGGUUUAUUGAUCACACCAACUGGAGAAGGUAUGCGAAGUCAAGGGGAACACAGAAUACUUUCCCUGUUUCAAUAUAUGCUUGGAACUCAAUGCUAAUUGCUAAAUAUUGCAAGAUCGCAUGCCAUUAGCAGCUUACAGUUCACGUUUUCAGAUGCAAUACAGAAAGGAAAAAAAAUUAACUAUUGCAAAACAAAUAGUACAGAUAAAAAAGGAUAUCAAUUGACAUGAGAUCAUCCUCUUUCUCACCACGAUUGCGGCUAUUUUCUAGUUCCCUUCUUAUUUCAGGGGUUACCUACAAUUGAAUCGCCAAAUACAGAUUACAUAUUGCCAUGGAGUUAUAGCCACAAAGUUAUAGAAAUGAAAUGCCUCAAGAGAAAAUGCUCCUACCAAAUAGUGUUUUUGCGUUUCAAGAAGAUUUCUGAGAUUAUCUUUAUCCUCCUUUUGCAAUUCAUUUUUGUACCUGCAAGGGAUUACACCAGCUGUAUAUGAGGAAAAAGACGAUCCAAUUACGCUAACUAUCAUCAAUAUGCAGUCUAAUCAUCAUUCAGGCACAGAAGAGAUUAUUAAAACUUUGCCCACCUUUGCACAAAUGUAAGAAGUGACUGGUGCCAUAUCACAGGCAUUACUCUUGUUUCCUCCAUAAAUCUCAUAAAAUGUGCAACAAGAGCGUCGAGUACGCGAUAUGGCAAGGCAUACUUUUUAUCCAAAAGAAGCUUUAUAAAAUAACUGCAACAAUUCAUAAAAACAGCAUUGUCAAAACAAUGUCGCAUGCAAGGACCUUCUCCUUUAUAUUAACAAGAAGAGUGCUUCCAAACUGACCAACCAUCAACUAUCUAAAUUCAUUAUAGUGGAUAAAUGUCACGAAAGGAAACUGAUAGAAAUUGUGCUUCAUACAGGGAGGUUUAUUGAAUCAGAUCUUCUACAUUUUUCUACUGCUCGGAACGUUAGGCCUCCCCACCAUACAUUUCACCAUAUAAAAAUCGUUUUGGCUUGAACGUCUUUCAAGUUAACAAAUAUCUUAAACCUUUUUUUCAAACUUUUACAGGCACAAAUGCACCUAUCUUGCAACCACAUACUCUAAGAGAAGAUAUGUCUUUAUUUCUUUCAAACCAUUUUGGAAAUACUAACUGUUACAUGGUUCAAUACCUCGUUGUGCCACAGUAUUUCAUUUCUGCAAGCUUCAUUAAUGCAACACUGAAAAUACAGCAAAAGCAUGUAUCAGAUAUCUCCCAGGUAGAUUAUAAGGACCGUGAAUAAACAGUAUAACUUCCAACAUCAGAAACAGAAAAUGAAAGAAUAACUUGCUAAAGACAAGACAAGCAAAACGGAAAAGUUAACCAUAGAUUGCUAACUUAAGAAAUGAGAUAUAAUCAAGAGAUUUGUGCAUAACAUUUUUAAGUGGUUCUUAAAAUUAUUUUAAAAAAAUUGAUGCAAUUGACUGCUCACAGCCUUUCUAAAUGUAGGAAUACAUUGCAAGCCAACUGGUAUAAACUAAACGUAGUAGUUAUGUUAAAAGUAUAUUCUAGAUAAAAAUAAUCCAAAUAACAGAUAUAAUCAACUUCUAUUUCUUUUUAAAUCCUUAUCAGAAUGGCUUCUAAGCCGUCACCCAACAAACUCUUCAUCUUCAAGGGUCUAUUUGGAAGCCUUCCGUUCUGACAAUGGCAAAUUGGUUCAUAACUUAUGGAAUCAAUACCAAAUCUUGAUAAGGCAGCUUACAUACCUAGAAUGAAGUGGAGGAAUGGAGACCUUCUGUAUAAUGCUCCCAAAAAUAACAGCUUCCCUUAGAUUACAUGUCCCUGACUGUUCAAGAAGAAAGAGAAAUGGAGCCAUGGGGGAAGUGCAUUAGAAUUAGGAAAACAUCCAUUCCAAAACCGUAAAAACAUUUUAGAUCCAUGCAUCCCAUUAAUAUAAUGAAAUUGAGGUGAAUAUCAGAUCUCAAAAACUUAGUUUGGAUACAUCCGAAUGAACUAGCAAAAAGGUUAGCAUCAUAAACCCGUAACUUCAGUAUGACAGAGAGAAUGAAAUCAAUGAAUGAGCUUCUGAAACAAACAAACAAACAAUGCUUAAACUUCAAAAUACUGCAUUAGAUGGAGAAGGAUGGCAUGUUUACCUCACACAAGGGAAACAGUAUUCCUAUAAAAAAGGCCGCAGGCUUGUACAAAGACUUCUUCAAAGAUUGAUAUAGUGCAAAAUGCAAGCGCUUGGGUUUGCGGAUGUCUUCCCUCACCCUUGGGAGCAACACAAGCUUGUAGAAACGUUCUACCUUCUCCUUACUCAAAUUGGAAGCAAAAAUCCUCGUAGCUUGAUACAUUGCAUUUGGUGACCAAUUCUCAGGCUCAGUCAAAUAUAGGACAUCCUCCCAUCGUGGCACUGAAGGGAUGUGUUUGAAUGCCUUGGGAAUCUUUCCAGCAGUGUACUUAUUAAGAAACUUGCCAACCCUGCACAAACAUCGAAAAAGUAAGACGUCGUCCUCAUGGCCUAGCAUUACUCGAAUAACAGAUAUGCUAGGAUAGCUUGAUUACCCCUUAUACAAAUCUAUGACAGAGGUAUCCAAUUUAGGCAGAGGCCUCGCAUCUGCAACCGAACAAAUCAAAUCAACAAAUGAAAAUAUACUAAAGAAACGACCUUCAGCUUUAGCUAAUGAAAGAAGGAACAACAAAAUCAUAUUCCAUAUCUACCUGAGCCGACAUUUGAAUCGUUCUCUUUAAUUCUUGCGACAAUGAGGUCUGCCAGAGUACGCUGCGGACCGGCAUCCUUUGACAAGAAUUGCUCCAAUAUUUUCUCAUCAUGUUCAUCAAUCUCAUGUAAUGGCUUCUCGCCAUUUUCAUCACUUUCCUGAAACUCAUAUUAAACAUUUUUCAUUCACAAAUCAAAUUAAUUUCAUCCAAUUGAAACCUAACAAUUAAUAAAAUUAAUUAAACAACACAAUUCAGCAUUCAUUUUACAUUUCCUUUGUUUCCUCACAGAUUCUCACCAUUCAAACAAACUCAAAAAUCCAAUAAACAAACAAUUAGCGAUCAAAACUCACAUCAUAACCGUCAAAUCGGCUCUGCGUUUCAGAGAAUCCACCGAAAUCAUCGAUAUCCUCCUCUUCGCCGUCGGCCACCUCCUUCCGCGGCUCUUCCGAUACAUCCAGAAGCGAAUUGUUAGGGUUUUGAGCGCGGUUCUCCUCGUCCUCUAUCUCCCGCUGCUGAGCCAGAGCCUGUUUGAGGAUCUUAGAGCUCAUUCCGGAAGAUAUGAGCUUCUCCUCCUGCUGGUGCUGCUUCGACUUGGUCCGCUUCUUGGAGGCGACGGAGCCAUUUUCUUCGGCGAGGAACGGCUCCGGAUUCUGGUGCCUCUCUCUCUGCCUCUUCUUGCCCAUUGAUGCUGGUGCAGCUGCAGGCGAAGCCUUUUCUGCUAUUGAAACUGGAAAGUUAAAACCCCCGCCACCUGGAUUUCUUCAGUCUAAAACCCUAACCAUAGACAAAUUGCGGACCAAAAAUUAAAAGAAAAAUCUAGUGGGCCGGAAGGGCCCAACAGGAAGGCAAGAGAAAUACGAAUGGCCCACCUAAUAUUCUAACAAGGUGACAAAGGCCCAAGAAGAGCCCAAACUGAACCAAAAUCUAAAGAUUUUGUUCUAAUUUCUAUCUUAUUUUUCUUUUUUUAUGGAGAGUAUUCUUUUCUUUUGUUGGAUUAUAAAAUGAUAUUUUAAAUUAUUUUAAUUUACGGGAUUUAAGGUUUAAAUUUAUAUAUUUUGGUCUAUAUUGAAAGCUUAAAGUUAAAUGGAAAGGGAGCUGACCAACCUGAUGUAAUAAUCGUUAGAACAACUUCAAUGCAUAGUGUGAAAUUGAAGAUGUAAGUGGACCCUUUACAUGUACGCAAUAUCUUUUGGUGCAUUCUACUUUUUAAUAUUGCCUUCCUCUAAUUAUUCUCUUAUGAUUCUUCAUUUCUCAAAGUGUGUCAAUUUUCCUUCUGAAUUCGAAUUUAAGCUUUGUUUCGACGGGAAAUAGCAAGAUAAGGUACUAUUCUUGAUGAAUUUGCUAUUGUGGGAAAACAGAGAAACAGAAAGGCAUGGUAGAGAACGGGAGCUAAUAUUAAAUUUUGCUUAUAAGAACUUGAAAACACCACAUAUUGUUAGAAAUAAUAGCGUCAGUUACAUCCAGAAAGACACAAUAUGAAACUUGACCGAAGAUACAUAGUGUACUUUUGUUCUGAAGUCUGAAAUUCGCGAAAUAUCCACAUGUUUCAACGUGUGAUAAACUGUAUAUGCGAUUUUGAUAACAUCCCGGAAGCUGUUCUGAAUUCCUUACCCUGCAAAUUAGUUUACUGGCAUCUAAACUGACUGAUCUGCCAAACCUGGUAAAGAAGAUUACAAAAAUAACCAGGAGACUUGUAAGUUGCUUUUUCAAUUCAUAAUUUCAUAUCACAAAAGUAUGGCCAUGUUUUAUUUUUCACUUCCAAUUGUCUGUAUUUAAAAUGUGAUGUGCACAGUUAACAUCGAAUGUUGAUGGAUAGCGGGGGAAGCAAUUGCGUUGGUCCAAUAUGUCCAAGCAACAAGGAGAUACAUAGGAAAUUGAUCGGUGAAACUUUGGUUGCACAAAAGAAACUGUAAAUGGUAUCAUGAUAUUACCUCAUCGACUAAACCACUUUCAACCAGAACCAGAAAUCAAUCUGAGUUUUUAGAGAUAACCUGCAAUUUCAGAACCUCUGAAAUCAGAUUCAUAGCCAUCUAUAGUAUAGUACAAGGAAAUCAAGGCACCACAGGUAGAGGAUAAAGAAAAAUGUGAGAGUACAUAGUUGAUAAGUAAGACUGAUGAACAUGCAUAUUAUAAGCUUACCUCUAGUAUUAAUGCUUUGGCAUGCUCUUCCCACUCAGUAGCCCACCUCCCAGAUGAAGCCAUUUCCAAUGCACCGUUCCUGAGAACCUUCAAGGAACCACAUGCCUCUGGAAAACCCUUGAACAGCAUCUGUACAGGUUAUAAGAGAGAUAUUAUCACGAAGAUGGUGCACUAAACAGUAAUCCAAAGUUUUGAGUCGUUGAAGUUAAGCAAAUUACGUUAAUAUUGCAGUGGUUAGUCUACCAUGCAUAUUAGUUUCAUCUAUUAACCACCAUGACAUCCACUAGGAGACACCAAAAUAUAUAUGAUUUGCAUUCUUUUUUACUGCAUUUCAUGCAUUUCAAGUUACAUGAAUUGCAUAUGAGGUUUGUUACGCAAGUAUUAAUUGUUACAAUCAUUUUAAGUAGCAGUUGAAACAUCCCGACAGAGAAACAAGCAAGCUGGCCAACUUACCAAAAGUUCAUCCGCUAGUUCUGAAGACGAUGAAAACAGAAGGCCGUUUUUCUCAACUUGCACUAGUUCCUUGAUGCUUUGAAAAAAGAUUACCAUAACCAAGGACAUCAGAUUUUAAUGUACAGCAUCCCCAAAAGUCCAUAUAGAAUGUCAUAAUAAGUAAGAUUCCUAUCGCAUAAAGAAAGUAAUUAAUAAAAAAAUGAGUUUACCAUGAGUAGGAAACAGCACAAACUGGCAGUCCACAGCCAAACAUGUCCACGACCUACUGCCAAAAAAUGUACAAUAACGCAAAGUGAAAAGCAGUUAGAGAAAAUUCAUAUUGUUGUAGAUCUAUUCUAGUGCAGUAUUCAGUUUACCCCUUACCUUCAUGGGAAGAUCCAACCCUGAUGAGGACGUAUGCAAGCAUACACCAAGAUCCGCUGAUCCUGCAAAUGUAAAUAAAUAUAUAACACUGAAUACUUUUGGAAGAGCAUAUAAUGUGCAAGGAACAAUGGGGACAAAGCACAAGCAAUUGAAAAUAAAAGACCUACCAAGAAGCAAUGGAUAGUCCUCAGCAGACAACCACAUAGUACGAAAUGCCACGCGUUUGAGGUGUAAUCUGCUAAUUUUUUCUUCAUAUUUUUGCUUUUCGGGCCCUUUACCUACACGAAUUAAAUCAGUAUGCAAGUGCGUAAGAUGACCCCUCUCUCUCUCUCUCUCUCUCAUAACAGAUAUGCAAGGCUAAAAGGAACCUGACAUCCUAGAACAAAGAAAUAGUUAUACUCACCAGUAAUGACAAAUAACAGCCUAGGGUAUAAGUAUUGCUUCCCACUAUGAAUAUCCUUCCAAAGAACCUCUUCUUUAGUAGAAUCUUCUUCAUUUAAAAUAGCAGCAACACGCCUGUCAUACAUGACAGCUGCUUCCAAGAGAAUUUCAAAAUCUUCGUCAGGAGUCCUGUAAAGAACCAUUCAAAAAGACAAAUAAAAAUUGAAAAAUCAAAUGUUUUAAACAUGGGGUUUGUCUUUCACGUUACAUCAAAGUAUUCCACUGAAUAUUAGCUCACCAGCUUGUACUGCUAACUAUGAGUGCUGGCCUGUGUGGCUUCAAAGUAACGUCAGUACCAACCAGAGAGGUAAAUAGAGUAUCGUUUAUGUCUGUAUUCACUUCCCCUGAUCCUGUUAGAUAAAUGUUAACAUAUUCAAAGAACAUUACUAAUCGAUGAAGGGCAGUCAAGAAGCAAAUUAUAAAUUUAAAGAAACUGAUUAUUAUUACCAGUGCUAGUGCAAUCAUGAACACCAAGUGGCUGCCUUAGAUUUUUAUCUAAUCUGCAGAACAACUGCAGAUAACUCACAUGUUAUACCAAAUUCUCCAAACCAAAAAAAAAGAGUCAAAACAAGCUCAGAAUUAGGCAUUCAAACACCUUAUGCUUUUCUUCAAGUGAAGCAGGUCGGAAAAACUCAGGAGGCUGAUCAUAUAAAACUGUGGCUCUAUCAAUUUGGAAGACAACAGAAGACAAGUAAAUAUAUAUCACUUGAUAAUGAAGUUUUGUGAAGUAGCAAUAAAUUGUGAAAUAUUGAGCUGACCGUCUUACUUAAUUCCCCAAUUUUGAGCCAAUUCAUGUUGCAUUGCCCUCGUUACACAUAGGGAACCAUCUGCCAUCUUCCCGAAAUACCUCUCAAACCUAAUCAGGAAAGAGAAACUCAAUCUACUGCACCACCAAAAAUAUGGCCUCAAAGAAAAGUCUAAAAAAAUUCAAUAGCUACCAACGGUAUAUUGCCACAAAUCUACUACUUCUUCCAAGAGACAAUGCCAGUAAAGUAUAUCCAAAAUUAUGCCAGUCAACAAUAAAGGCAGAUUUCCUAAGCCAGCUUGCCCAUUUUACAGCCAUUAAGGUUGGAACAGAGGGUGGAUUCUGCACAAGCAAAAUGAAUCAUAGGGUUUAGAGAAAGAACGUUCACAUUCAAUUCACUUACUCUAAAAUCUAAAUACAAAAUUCAGGAACCAACUGAAAUUUGUAGCCUAAAAUUUGCAAAUGGUUGGCACUUGGCAGCUAAUUAAUCAAAUUUGAAAACUUGUCAAAGAGAAACAAUUAAACAUUGUCUAGUUUAUAAAAAGCUUCUGCAACUUCCCAACUGGACCAGUACAAGCUCACCUGAACUAGAUAAACAUCGGGAGCAGGUAUCUUAAUGCAAAGAAACCAAAGAAGCAUUAUAAACUGAGUCACUGCCUUGAUCAAAAGCACGAAGGGUCUAAGUAUGUUGGGCAGGCCACGCGUAAAUGUCUGCCACUGCUGCUGCCAACCAGAAUCACAAUAACUUUAAUCUUGUGGACGACCAAAAAAUUCGAUAGUAAGAUACUGCGGUAAAAAGAAAAUUGCACUUCAACAAUAACUACCAUUUUGUGUAUGUGAAUGGACUGAUGUUCAAGUAGAGCGGAAUGGGGUUCGGAACCUGUCCAAACAUUCCAACUCAAAUCCAAAUCAGCACUAUGAGGUAACAUUUAGAUUCAAAUUUGCUCAACAAUGCACAUAAUUCUACAAUCAAAGCAAAAGAUGUACCUCCAUAUGCAACAAUAUCUACCUCCAGAGAAGCCUGAGACGCACAUUCAAUAGAAAAAAUCACAAAAAGGUCCAAAUUUCUCAUGAAAAAGAGCAAUUCCGACUUCAAAACACAUUUCAAAAGCACAAAAUGGAAAAUUAAGAAUUGGGUUGUUGCUAAAUCAGCUGUAGAAGUUCAGGCGGGGGCGCUUACCUGUCGGGCAAGCGAAAGAGCGUGAUACUGCAUACGGGGGCUCCGCCCAAUAUCGCCCAGCACCACCACGCACGCCCGCCCUCUCUUCCCUCCUGCAAUCAGAAAUCCCAAACUCCUCAGAAAUCUGCAAAGAAACGAGCUUUCGAGAAAAAAGAAAGAACGAAAAAGCUUGCCUUUGCCGGCCAUGGUUCUCUGUUCCGCUUGGAUUCUGAUCUCCGACGGAGAGAGUGGUGCCAACUGCCAAAGGUGCAGACUUGCAGUUGAAGUCAUGAGGAAGACGAAGGGAGAGAGAGCGAGAGUCGUGGGAUGUCAAGGCGGGCCGGUUAACUGGGCUUGGGCGACCCAAUUAGACCCAAUUUCGCACGAGAAAUAAUAAAAUGGGCCUACCCUUACCGGGUUUUCUUUCUUUUGGAUUUGAACCAUAAGAAUUCACACUCAUCCGAGAUGCUUACUGACUCGGCGUCACCACCCAUCCUCUCAAGCCGCGAGCUUUCGCCAUUGUUAGGGUUCCGAAUUUGCUUGCUUUGAUCAGGACAGUGGAGGUUCCAAGGUGUUUUCUUCACAUUCAUUACAUAUUUUCAUCUGGGUUUCAAUAGUCUUGGUGUUUUGUGAUUGGAUUGUGUGCUUUUUUGUUGAAUUGAAAAGCUAUAUGCUGUUAAUUGUGGUGCAAAAUUGUUCAGUUGGGAAUUGGAGUUUUCUCUGCUGCUAUAUAAUGUUUAGAAGUUUAUUGGAUUAUGUUGGUGAAGAAAUGGAUGCGUUAUUUGUGUAAAAACUUAGCUUAGCUUAAUUUCAUGACUUUGGGUCGGAAGGAAGUUGAGGUACCAUUGAUUGGCAGUUUGGGAAGUAUCCAAGUUUUGUAAGCACCUGCAAGGUUUGGUAAACUUCCGACGGCGGGCAUUUGUUCACAUCCUCACAUGGUCCGUCUAGAAUCUAGAUGAAUACUCUAUUCUCUUUGACUUGUUCAAUUUGAUGCUAUAGAAAUUCAUUGGUUCCAUUGACUUUUUCUGGGUCAAUCUGAUUUGUGCAUUUUUUGUGUACUCUUCAUUUCUUGUGUGUUUUGUGAUGAAAUCAGGUGAACACAAAUAUCACUGACUCCCAGCGCUGAACGGUAUGGUAACUUGAGGAGAGCCCGUUCCCAGUGAUUGCAUCGGGUUCUCUGGUUUUUGAAAAUUUUCGAAGUACAUUUCCAGACUUUACACUGAUCUGUGGUGCCUUCUCCUCUGUGAUAAAAUCGGAAAGCAGACUGAAUUGUUUAUCCAAAAAAAGUUGAGGAAAAUUAACAGAACCAACCAUGCAAACCGCUUCAUAUCUUCAUCCGUUCUCUUAUUUUGCUGACAGGUAUCUAAUUUUAUGAAUGUUCUCAUCUCAUUGUUUUUGUUUCUGUGUUCAUUUUUUUUUUUAAGUUUCAAUUAAAGUCUUGAAACAUAUUUCAGAAGAAGCCUUUUGAAACCAGAUGGGUGGAGUAAAUCACAAACCUCAUAUUCAAGUGAUCUUGUCAGGAGAGUUCUGAUUACUAGAAGACCUCAGACAUGUAAGUUUCUCUUGCCUAAGCAACAAACCAGAUUGUUUGCAAUUCCCAACAUAGAUGAUGGCCACCCUUCUGCCUCUGUGUUAGAAGAUUCAAAUACAAAUCAUGCACCCAAUUCAGAAGCGAAGACGGUGUUGCACAAAUGGUCACCUCCCACGUAUAUGUGGAGGGGGUUUUCAGCUCUUAUCCUGGCAGGACAGGUUAUUUUGAGAACUUUGAAGGGCAAAGUGCACUGGGGAAAUACACUUCAGCAAUUAAAGAGAGUUGGGCCAGGUUCAGUCGGGGUCUGUCUCUUGACUUCAACAUUUGUUGGCAUGGCCUUUACGAUCCAAUUCGUUAGGGAAUUUACUAGAUUAGGGUUAAGCAGAGCCGUUGGUGGGGUUUUAGCACUGGCUUUCUCAAGGGAGUUGAGUCCUGUAAUUACAUCAAUCGUGGUUGCUGGGCGUAUUGGAAGCUCAUUUGCUGCAGAGUUGGGAACAAUGCAGGUUUCUGAGCAAACCGACACUCUGAGAGUUCUUGGGGCUGACCCGGUUGAUUAUCUUGUGACUCCAAGGGUGAUUGCUACAUGUAUUGCUCUUCCGUUUCUGACUCUAAUGUGUUUCUCAGUAGGGAUGGCAUCCAGCGCCCUCCUUUCCGAUGGCAUUUAUGGUGUUAGCAUCAACAUUAUAUUGGAUUCAGCUUGCAGAGCUCUCAAACCAUGGGAUAUAAUUAGUGCAAUGAUCAAGUCACAGGUUUUUGGUGCGAUCAUAUCGAUUGUGAGUUGUGCUUGGGGAGUGACCACUAUGGGAGGAGCCAAGGGUGUUGGAGAGUCAACAACUUCGGCUGUGGUUAUAUCUCUUGUUGGGAUCUUUAUCGCAGAUUUUGUACUCUCGUGUUGUUUCUUCCAGGGAGUUGGAGAUUCAUUGAAGAGGCUCUAAGUGGUUGUUGAUAAGCUAAAGGAGAGGCUGAAGCAGGAAAUAAAUCAAAGUAUGUAUUCUUGGCUGCGUGACAUUUUCGCACAAUGGCAGGUCAGCUUGUAGUACUCCUUGAUGGUUGUUGAGGCAUUAUACAGAGGAAUAUAUAUUGUUUUUCUCCCCCCAUCAUUCGUUAAUGCCGAAUGCAGUGAGGAGAGCAGUUUUUGGAGUAAUUUUGCAUUAAGAAUCACAAAAGACGACCUGAAGUAUCUCAUUGCAAAGUAAGCGGGCUCGGCGUUGAGAGUCUUGAUGUAGGGUUUUGUACAUCUCCUUUCACUGUUAAUCGUUGUGAAUUUUCUCUUAAAAUAGCAAAACAACGUUGUUAAACGAGGCUAUUGGAGAUGCUCUUAGCUUUCCGCCAUUGAAAUUUCCAAUUUCGACACAAGUUAUAUCAUGAAAAUUUCGUUUUGUGACAUUUACUGCCUAGCUAAACUAACUUUUGCACAAAAACACCACAUUUCAGGGAGACUUAACGAUUUCCCGUGACUUGCAUGUGACAACUAUUAUUUUGUGUUACUUUACCACCUUAAUGUUUUUUUCGUGCCAGAUUGCUACCUGAAUUUGUUUUUGCAUCAAAACUACAUGAUAAAUCGUAUCUAAGAUUGUUUUGGUCAAAACUAAAAGAAUCAACAAUGAGGGUUUCGAAAAUUAUUCCCCAAAACUUGAAUGCCGUUUAGAGGUAAAACGACACAAAAACGGGUUCAGGUGGUAAAGUCACACAAUAUAGUGGUCGCGUGACUAUUUUUAACGAAAAUUUCUACAAUCUGGACAUUAUGUGGUAUAUCAGAAUCAUUUAACUGCAGCAAAGGAGAUUGUCGUAAUAGUUAUAUGACGAUCGAUAUUUCUGUUUAAUGGAAAAAAUAUACAGUGAAGGGCAGCAGCAGUAGCCAUGGAAAUAUUAUCUCACCGUCCAGCAUCAUUACAGAAAACGCAGAAAUAAUAAGGAAUCCAAGAACAAAGGCAGGCUGUGGAACCGAUCACAUCAACUCUCAGCUUGUAAAGGUUUAUCCACCGCCAUUCAUUUGAAUGUUUCUAUAACCUUGGCUGAUGGCGAGGGCGAGGAGCGUCCCAGUCAGUCACAAUGUGAUCGCGGGUGAUCUCUUUGAGCGAACGGCAUCCACUUAAUGCCAUGGUUAGCUCAAACUCUUCGCGCAGCAUUUGGAGUACCUUUCUAAUGCCAGCCUCUCCUUCAGCAGCGAGAGAGAACACCACAGGGCGCCCAAUCUGCGAGAGAAGCAAGUCUCAGUAUGUUUUGAUAGACAGUAUAAUCUUUUCGCGGAGGGGGUGGGUGAGUAAUAUAUGGAUGGAAUAAGUGCUUCUACAUGGAAAAAUCAUGAUCAAAACUUGACUUACAAAUAUGCCAGAGGCACCCAAAGCUAAUGCUUUGAAGACAUCUGUUCCUCGACGGACACCACCAUCCAAGAAAACAGGAAUGCGUCCUUGUGCACCUUUAACAACCUAGUUGUCAAGACAGCGCCGCCAUGUCAAAACAUUACGAAAACUAGGAUGGUAUAGGUGCAUGUUUACUUAACAUUUAGGAGAUGCACUACAAACAGCUAAAAUCAAGUUUCUGUACCUCUUCGAGGGCCAUGAUAGUCGAAGGGACGUAAUCAAGUUGGCGAGCUCCAUGGUUGGACACAAUAAUCCCAGCUGCUCCAGCUUGUACUGCAAUCCUUGCUGCAUGAUAUGAGCGUAGAAGAGUUAUACAAGCAUUACAAACCUAUCAUAACGACGGAGAGAAAAGGAGCUCAAAUACAUACCAUCUUCGGCAGUGAGAACACCCUUAACUAGGAUAGGCAGUGAAGUGAUUGUCUGAAGCCACUGCACAUCCUGUUGAAAUAUCGGGGCAGAUCAUUAGAUGCAUAUCAACUUUUUAUUCAAAAAUAAGGCAUACAUGCUGAGAAAACAUCGCUUCCUCACAAACAUCCAGCUGGAUAUGCCCAGCCAAAACACCUUCAUUAUUUUAAAUUUGCAUACUUUUCAUCAAAAGAUGGAAGAACCUACAUUUGUACUUUUCAAUUCGUUCUAUUGAAUGAUCUAGAAAUAUUACACUUUUGUUGAUAUUCCAUCCUUUUAUUUUGUUGGACUCUUUUUAAACUUAAAUGAUGAAGGCUAAAUAACUUGUGACACCAAGUUGUAAAUUUUCCACAUUAUGAGCCUUGCUUAGAAGUUCAUGUAUCUCGACAUUCGGUGUUAUCUGACAUACCUUCCAGCUAAGAGAACGAUCGAUUUGACCAGCAACGUAUGAAGCAAGUCCAGAGUCAGCAGCCUGAAGGAGCCCCACACCGCAAAUUAAACAUAAAAGACAUUAUUCUGAAAAUUAGGACAGCACAGUUUAUACUCACUUUGUCCAUCUUUCCGAGGUCCAAACCCUCAAAGUUCUUCAGUGUCAAAAACGGAGGCAAGGUAAAUCUGCAAGGUACCAAAUAAGAGGUAUUAACAAGAUUAAACUCUUCCACAUGUUAAGCUUGCAUCAAAUGCCGAACUGAAUUAGUCUUAUUGAACCGAUGAAAGUAAAAACACUCACACGCACACGCACAUGCACAUAUACAAAUCUUCACCAAAUUUAUUUAUUUAUCUUACUAGGUUGAUAUGAAUGUUUUGACCAGCUGAUAUUGCUAUAACAGUUAUGGACAUGAAGUUGACCUGUUCUUGAUGUCAGCUUCUCUGCGACCGAGCCUUGGGGUAUCAACUGUAAGAGCAAUAGCCUUGAACCCAGCCCUUUCAGCUCUUCUCACCAGCUGAGCAACCACAUUCCUGUCCUUGUAGACCUUAUAAUAAUGACCAGCAAAACAUGGAUCGCAUAAGGCAAGGAAACAUUUACUCAAAAGUCAUAACUCAAGACCAGGGACAAUUGGGUGUCGUAACUAACGAAUAGAAAUGAAAUUAGUAUUUAAGCUUACAUAGAGCUGGAAGAAACGGAUUCCAGGUCCAGUUGAAGCAACCUCUUCAACACUUGAAGUAGCCCAUGAA